This 86-nucleotide long non-coding RNA is filed under the name Polistes fuscatus (common paper wasp). Its description in RNAcentral is "uncharacterized LOC122526460". Lineage: Eukaryota; Metazoa; Arthropoda; Insecta; Hymenoptera; Vespidae. The record is from RNAcentral.
CUCCAAGCGUCAUACCAGAAUGCAGCUGCAGUUACAAGGAACAAGCAAGACAUGUAUCUGUUAAAAGGUUUUCAAUUAUUUUACUG